UCAGGACGAACGCUGGCGGCGUGCUUAACACAUGCAAGUCGAACGAUGAAGCCCUUCGGGGUGGAUUAGUGGCGAACGGGUGAGUAACACGUGGGCAAUCUGCCCUUCACUCUGGGACAAGCCCUGGAAACGGGGUCUAAUACCGGAUACGAGCUUCCAAGGCAUCUUGGAGGUUGGAAAGCUCCGGCGGUGAAGGAUGAGCCCGCGGCCUAUCAGCUUGUUGGUGAGGUAAUGGCUCACCAAGGCGACGACGGGUAGCCGGCCUGAGAGGGCGACCGGCCACACUGGGACUGAGACACGGCCCAGACUCCUACGGGAGGCAGCAGUGGGGAAUAUUGCACAAUGGGCGAAAGCCUGAUGCAGCGACGCCGCGUGAGGGAUGACGGCCUUCGGGUUGUAAACCUCUUUCAGCAGGGAAGAAGCGAAAGUGACGGUACCUGCAGAAGAAGCGCCGGCUAACUACGUGCCAGCAGCCGCGGUAAUACGUAGGGCGCAAGCGUUGUCCGGAAUUAUUGGGCGUAAAGAGCUCGUAGGCGGCUUGUCACGUCGAUUGUGAAAGCCCGAGGCUUAACCUCGGGUCUGCAGUCGAUACGGGCUAGCUAGAGUGUGGUAGGGGAGAUCGGAAUUCCUGGUGUAGCGGUGAAAUGCGCAGAUAUCAGGAGGAACACCGGUGGCGAAGGCGGAUCUCUGGGCCA
RNAcentral lists this ribosomal RNA (695 nucleotides) under Streptomyces sp. P3750. Its description in RNAcentral is "bacterial SSU rRNA". It matches the Rfam family "Bacterial small subunit ribosomal RNA", at positions 24 to 736 of the family's 1533-position model. The record is from RNAcentral. Lineage: Bacteria; Bacillati; Actinomycetota; Actinomycetes; Kitasatosporales; Streptomycetaceae.